RNAcentral lists this ribosomal RNA (659 nucleotides) under Triticum aestivum (bread wheat). RNAcentral describes it as "partial small subunit ribosomal RNA". Lineage: Eukaryota; Viridiplantae; Streptophyta; Magnoliopsida; Poales; Poaceae. The record is from RNAcentral.
GGGGGCGAGAUGAAGUCAGAUACAGAAGAGGAGAAGGGCAGGGCUCGAUCCCUGAAAGGUUAGCCCCCUAACCAACGACAUCCUAAACGGAAACGACGUGGAGUAUAAAAAAAAGUCCUAAAUGGUCAGCCCCCUAAAGGAACGACUGCCUAACAGCAACUAAAAAACAUCGAUACCAAACGGGACAAACAGCAACAGGCCCACGGGGAACACAUGGUAACCACGGUCUAGUACUGCAGACACUUCAUAAACUACAACAGGAACUACUCCUAACGAAGUCCUCCUACGACGAAUGUAAGUCCUCGUGUCCUUACAACGGUUCUACAGCGUGAUGUUCUCCUAACUCGGACGAAACGACUGAAAACUCUCAUCUAGAAUACGACAAUAAAAAUUCGUACUUCGGGUAAUGAGGUUCAAGAUACCAAGACGGACCAAGCUUGAAUGGGUACUGAUACGAGAAACACGACCUCUAGCACACCAGAAGUGAGACCUGGUGAGACACAAACUAGACUUUCAUCUCUGAAUGGUACGACCCGUAUCCUAAGAAGGAAGAGGAACAACACCAUACAAAAACUAUAUAUCAAAAAAUGACGUUAUAACAGUAUCUAAAAAUGAUCUAACACCAAAACUUCCUUUAUACGGGAUCUCCGUUAUUAUUU